This 389-nucleotide unclassified non-coding RNA is filed under the name uncultured Simplicillium. Its description in RNAcentral is "sequence contains ITS1". The stretch from base 1 to 107 matches the Rfam family "5.8S ribosomal RNA", at positions 50 to 154 of the family's 154-position model. Lineage: Eukaryota; Fungi; Ascomycota; Sordariomycetes; Hypocreales; Cordycipitaceae. The record is from RNAcentral.
GAAAUGCGAUACGUAACGCGAAUUGCAGAAUUCAGUGAAUCGUCGAAUCUUUGAACGCAUACUGCGGCUUUCGGGCUUGCUCGGAAGCCAUGCCUCUUUCAGUAUCGGUUCUAUCUCUCUAUCAAUCCCUGGUGGUUUGGUCAGAGACUGAUUGAGGGUCUUGCUGGCAGGUUCUGCUGGGAGGUCCCUUGAAGAUCUGGAAGGAACAAGCUAGGCGCGGCCUCGUGUUGCCCUGCUUCUGCUUCUUGGUCAGUACCCAGAAGAUAGUUCACCUCUGUGUGAUCUCAAUAUCUCUCUGGCGACCGCCACGGAAGCUCACUUCCCGUACCCUUUUUGACUGUUUUUCAUGAUCUGAUCUGAAAUGAGGUAAGAGGACCCCCUGAACUUAA